AUACGGAGGGUGCAAGCGUUAUCCGGAUUUAUUGGGUUUAAAGGGUGCGCAGGCGGACCUGUCAGUCAGUGGUGAAAUCCCGGGGCUCAACCCCGGAACUGCCAUUGAUACUACAGGUCUUGAAUACGGCUGAAGUAGGCGGAAUGUAGCAUGUAGCGGUGAAAUGCAUAGAUAUGCUACAGAACACCGAUCGCGAAGGCAGCUUACUAAGCCGAUAUUGACGCUCAGGCACGAAAGCGUGGGUAGCGAACAGGAUUAGAAACCCUUGUAGUCC
Molecule: ribosomal RNA, 274 nt
Filed under: uncultured bacterium
Lineage: Bacteria
Description: partial 16S ribosomal RNA
Rfam family: Bacterial small subunit ribosomal RNA
Source: RNAcentral